Molecule: non-coding RNA, 28 nt
Filed under: Rattus norvegicus (Norway rat)
Lineage: Eukaryota; Metazoa; Chordata; Mammalia; Rodentia; Muridae
Source: RNAcentral
UGCAAGGUGAUUUUUCCCAGAAGAGAGU